ACUGUUCAGUUUAUCAAUUAAUUCCAAAUCCUCCUCUAAUGACACUUCAAUGUGUGACAAUUCCUCAGAUGUAUCACCUACAAAGGACGGCUCAGGUUUGGUGCUCCAUGAGUUCACAAAAUGCAGGCUCACCGGAGCAGUCAUGUGGAAGCUCUUAUGUUUGUUAUGGAGACUUGCAGUAAAACCCUGACCUACGAAAUCAGUUGGGGGUUGACCUUGACUUCAGUAGGUCCAAGAUUCCCAGACUGUAACUUCAUAGUUAAGAAUGAAUUGAGUUUUUUGCUUAAAGCAGAACUUUAAAGUUUAAAGCUAAACCUCUUUGCUAUGUACGAGGAAUACAAUGUACCUUCGCCAAAUUUAGGGCACUGAGUACUGUAACCCUUCGGCCAAUGGCAUCGGCAGCAGCAAGGGCCAGCGCCUUCUUUCUAGAUGAUUUGCUACAAUUUGCUUAAUUUUGGCUCGGGUCCCCACUCAGUAAUCUGGGCCCCUAUAUCCAAUCUAGGCGCCUUUGAUAGGCAAAUCCAUACCUGCUUGCUCUACCACCUCCUGCUAUAACAGUUUCAGUAGCUAGGACAGAGAGACCUCACCAAAGUCUUUAGGCCAGUGUAGACGGAUGCUGUAGACUCCUCUGCUUCCACCAUAGUCCCCACAGCAGCUCUCAGUCUGCUUGCAAGCUGUAGGUGAAACCAGUUGCCACUUUGCUCCACUCACUGCUGGCCAGGUGACCAGAACUGCAGAGGGGUUCUGUCCUCCACUUGCUCUAUGACUAGAACCACUGCUGAGCUCUGCCCAUAUCAGGCAACUGUAGCUUUCCGCUCAGAUUUUAUUUUUUGUUUUGUUAUGGUACCAGGGGAAUCAGUGAUCUAAGAGCCCCCUUAGAGUUCUUACCCCUACGAAAGCAGUCCCAGCAAUUAACCAAGAACGGACAAUCUCUCUUUUUUCUGGAACUUGGCCUCCUUCUGUCCAAGGGCUCUUACCUGACCGUGACAAACAUCAGUCUUCUUCUGGGUGACCCUGUACUCAGUCAUUGUUCAGGCUUUGCCCAGAUCGUUCCCACCAGAGUAAUCUCCCAAAUAUGGGCCGCAAGUUCAAAACUCAGCCAAGUUAUACCCCUAUGUCCCCAAACUAUCUGAAGUUCAUAUGUAAAUGUGGUGCUGCUUUGCUCAGUCCACUCCUCUUGCUCUCCAGCAGAGAGCUGACUCUGUUACCUUCCUUCUUUCCUAAGCUUCAGGCCACAGGGCUGACCGUACUGACUGACUUCUCUGAGGAUUUACAAGUCAAAUUUAAUUAGUUAAUGUUAAAAUCAAUCAAAAGUGAGCUUUUAAGGAAUGCAGCACUUUGGUUCACCUUUACUUUGACUGAACGAUCGUAAUAACAGAGUAAGACACACAUUUCUAUGUAGUUAAACCUCCUAGAAAACAUGUGCAUAAAUGAUUUUGAAAAAGUUAGGUUGUAAUUAAGUUAUGUUAUUAAUGAUUGAUGUUCAAUUGUUGUAAUUCCAGUCAUGGAUAACUCAGAUCCUUCUUAAGUAGUGCCACUGUGAUGGUUAGCUACCACAGGGAUGAGCAGCCAUAUAUUAAAAACAACAACCCGAGAUAGUGCUGUCAGAGGUAACAAAGCCAAUCAAACCUCUUCCUUUUUAGCUAAUUCUGUUGCUGAAGUGGAGCGGUGGAGAGAGUGGGAUGGAAUCAAGAGUCCUCACCGGUACAUUUUUUGACUCCAACUAUCACAAGAUCGGCCCCCAGCUGUGACUCCUCCUACAGAUUUUGUGUAAAAUUAUGGCUUGCGUAAAGUGGGGACAGGCACACCUUCAUCACCACUCCUACGAGGUCUGGGGAGGAGCUGAAGAGAAACAAUAACUACACAGCCCAGCACUUUGCUAUUUGUAAAGUCCUGUGUAGGCUUAUGGCCCUUCAUUCUUAGAAGAGAGGGCGUGACUAGAAUAGAAUAACUAGCGAAAUAGAUAAAAACGGAGGGAAAGGAAGAGAGGGAUGGGGAGAGUGAGAGAGAGAAAGCAGGAGAAAGAAACAGAAAGACAGACUGGGAGAAGGUGAAACAGGAAUAGGGAAAGUGUUGGAGGGGAAAGGGAAAAACGUAUUGGGGGACAGAGUGAGGGAGGAGAGAUACAAUGGAACUGCUCUCCUGGCUCGGGUCCCAGCUCCCAUCCUUCUGGAACAGCUUCACAACACUUGGCCUCUCUUGUGCUGUCUUUAUCCUGCUUUUCGAUCACAUGAAGCGCAGAAAGAGAUGGAACAACUACCCCCCGGGUCCUGUCUCCUUCCCUUUCAUUGGGAACUUGCUGCAGAUCAAUUUCCAAUGUCCUCGCCUUGCCUUAACAGAGGUAAGUGCCAGAGGGACAGAUGCCUUUCACUGACUGGCAGAGAGGGUUGGUGAUAGCAGCCAUGCCAGAUCGGUUUCCAGUUCUUGUGUGGCAGCUGAACUGCACUUAUUAUUUACUGCAUUGCAGGAAGAUUUCAAUCUAUAAAAGGAGAAAAGCUAAACAGAAUAAAAGCAAAGCAAAAACCAUCCCUAAUUUUCAUCAUGUGAACUUGUGACAUGCCCGUCUCACUGUAGGUGGUUGGUUAAUUGUUGAUCAGUAAUACAUUAUGGAACCAUAUGUAUAUGAAAACUGUAAACCAGUUUGCAUCGUUCACUAUACUUGUUAAAGUAAAUGUUAACAUAAAGAAAGCAUUGACACUAGUUCACACUACUCUAAUGGUUGAGAAAGCCGCAAUGUAAGUGCCUUAUUCCUCAUUUGGGUCCUUAAACUAGGACUUGGACGCACCCUCCCAAGGGGUGUGUGUAAACUGGAGAAUUACAUCACUUUAACAAUGGGUCCCUGUAGGGAGCCAGGGUGGCUCCCUUCCGAACCAGAGGGUAAAGCGCCACCCUCUGAGCCUGAGUGGGCGGGGCCAGGCCAAGCUUCCGCCAAUCCCCGGAAGGGGAAGGGUGGGACAGGAAGUACAAAGGGCGGGGCCCUCUGCCCAGUGAGGAGAGCACCAGGGAGGGAGACAGACACGGGCUGCUGGCUGCUCCCUCGCGAUCCUGCUGCCGACCCAGGCGAAGCCCUGGGCAAGGAGGAACCUGACCGGGGGGAAGGCCUGUGGCAACCAGGGCUACCGGCCGCUGAAUACCCGGAGGAACCGGAGCUGCCCGCAGCGGAUUACCCGGAGGAGAUGGAGGGACCGGAGCGACCCGCCUGAGAGAGACCGGGUAGGAAGUAGCCCAGCGGCCCAACUACACCGUGGGGUGGGUGUGUUUGGUCAGCGGGUGCGGAUUGCCCCGCUGACCCAGCGGCGGGACCUUCGCCUCCCGCCACUGUCAGGGCCCUGGGCUCGAACGCAGUGGAGUUGGGUGGUCCUGCGUUCCCCUACCCCGGCGCCCCCCUGCCCGAGGGGCGCGCUACUGACUCGGGCCGGCGCACCUCCCUGCUAAUUCCCCAAAGCCCGGGAGGUGGGGCCGAGGCCUGCCACGGAGACCAUUGCUCUCCAUCGCCCCUAGGGGCUCGGAAGACCGACCGCCACCCGUCACAGUCCCAUACACAGCUGUACAGUAGAGCUGGUGGGAAUGUCUUUAUUGAACCGUUUUUUAGACCAGAAAUGCUGGUUUUGAUGACUAUUCCCUGGGGGUGGCCUUUUGAAGGGAAAAUGUGUUGACUUUGGAAAAUGUUUGUUUCCGAGUUCUUCAUUUCUAAUUAUUUUUAUAUUAUUUCGUAACACAUCAGUAGCAGUACUAUUCCGAGCGCUAUUACCACUGACAUGUUACGGAUAAAAUGUAAUCCUAUACAAAUAAAAAAGCCCCAUGUAACAAAACAGCAUUAGAAUCCAAACGUCCAGAUUUCAAAAUGACAUUUUGAAACAAAAACUUUCCAAAACAGAACUUUGUUGGAAAUGUCAAUGUCUGGGAAAUUCAUUUUCAUGCUGGAAACAAAUUUCAAAACAUCAACAUUUCCCGCUAACUGGAAAUUGAGUUUUGACCAACGCUAAUGGACAGCUGAGUAUUGGUGCAGCGAGACAGGACUUUGAAAGCCAGCAAUGUUCUUUAUGGACAAAGAGCGAUUGGGAAAUUAAGAUGGCCAGGGAGAGGGACACUGAUUGGCUUCCCACCCAAAUCUGCACGGCAUGAUCUGAAAACGUGGAUCCCUCCUAGCAGGUUUGGGCAUAUUCCCUCUUGGGUCGACAGCCUUACAGGGAUUAAGCACUCUGCAGUCAAAGCCCCUGUGCCCUCUGCCUGCCACAGACUAUGCUACAGUGUCUCUCAUGUUAAGGUACAGCCUGUGUAGCUGGUUUUUCUCUUUAAUCCUGUUUUUCUUUUUUUAUCUCUUUGCCCUCUUACUUGACAGCCCCGUGAGAAGUCUGGGAAGAUCUUCUCUCUUCAGGUUGGAUGGAAAAAUGUGGCCAUGCUGAAUGGGUUAGAAGCUGUAAAGGAAGAAAGAGGCAGCUGAUAAACAAGUUUGUCCUAGAGAAAGAAGCCGGGUGGAUGAGGGGGCUCUGAUGUCAGGGUGUCCGUCCCCUCUGUACCUCAUCUCUGCAGGGCUCAGGAGUGGGACCUGGGACAGAGCUUGCUGGCGGCGGCUGCUGCUGUGUCCUAACAAGCGGCUUCAGACUUGUCCGUGCCAUCUACUUAAAGGGGCAGCGCGUGUGUCUCUUUCACACAGUUACACACACACACCCUAUGUGUGUCUCUCUCUUACACUCACCUCCCAACACAUACUUACGUUGUUGUUGUUACUUCUUGAUAUUUCCUGCAAUGCACACAUGUUCUCUGUAAUUUUAGUCUUUCAAAGUGCUGUUGUUUGAGUUUUUUGACUGGUCUAUGCCUUUCAUAAUUUUUAUUUCUCUCUUAGGCUUAAAUUUAAUUCUUUCAGUCGUGAGUUCUAAAAUGCCUAAGAUGUCCUGGCUGGAGUAAUUAGCCCUAUGGUAACUUUUAAAAAAUAUAUAUUAUGUCUAGGUUUUUUGUUCCUACUGGUGGCGCACAUCCACACAUUACCUCGAUACUGGUGCACAGAACAAAAUUCAUUCCACACCUGGAUGGAAAAAAUUAGAGGGAACAUUGCACAGGACUAUAAAAAGAAGUAUGCAGUGUAGUUGUAGCCAUGUCAGUCCCAGGAUAUGAGAGAGACAGGCUGGGUGCUGGCUCUAUAAAAAGAAAAGGAGAGGACCCCUUAGCUAUCCACCCCUUAAGGGGCAAAAGAGGCCAGUGUUCUUGAAAGCUGUGGAAAGUGGGUCCAUCAGCCAUGUGGGUUGAAGAGGCUGAGAACUGACUGGAGGUGAGAAAUGCCUCAGACCAGGAUUAUAAUCUGUUAAACUGUAGAAACUAGAAAGUGUGUUUUCUUUUGUUUUAUUUGUAACCAUCUUCUGCUCCUAUUAUCUCUGCUUAAGAUCACUUAAAUCUCUGUUCUUUAUUAAUAAACUUAUUCAUGUUUUAUUAUAAA
This is a long non-coding RNA of Chelonia mydas (Green sea turtle), 5434 nucleotides long. RefSeq lists it as uncharacterized. NCBI's taxonomy places the organism in Eukaryota, Metazoa, Chordata, Testudines, Cheloniidae. The transcript is spliced from 2 exons. The record is from RefSeq and is a predicted model, not a curated record.